Molecule: ribosomal RNA, 465 nt
Filed under: uncultured bacterium
Lineage: Bacteria
Description: partial 16S ribosomal RNA
Rfam family: Bacterial small subunit ribosomal RNA
Source: RNAcentral
CCUACGGGUGGCAGCAGUGGGGAAUAUUGCUCAAUGGGCGAAAGCCUGACGCAGCGACGCCGCGUGCGGGAUGAAGGUCUUCGGAUCGUAAACCUCUGUCAGCAGGGAAGAACGGUCACUGUGCUAAUCAGCAGUGAAUUGACGGUACCUGCAAAGGAAGCACCGUCUAACUCCGUGCCAGCAGCCGCGGUAAUACGGAGGGUGCGAGCGUUAAUCGGAAUUACUGGGCGUAAAGCGCGCGUAGGCGGUAUGUCAAGUCAAGGGUGAAAUCCCCGCGCUCAACGUGGGAACUGCCUUUGAAACUGGCAAACUUGAGUGCGUGAGAGGAUAGUGGAAUUCGAGGUGUAGGAGUGAAAUCCGUAGAUAUCUGGAGGAACAUCAGUGGCGAAGGCGACUAUCUGGCACAUAACUGACGCUGAGGAGCGAAAGCGUGGGUAGCAAACAGGAUUAGAUACCCGGGUAGUC